AACGAACGCUGGCGGCGUGCCUAACACAUGCAAGUCGUGCGAGAAAGUUCCUUCGGGAGCGAGUAAAGCGGCGCACGGGUGAGUAACACGUAGGUAACCUGCCCCCCAGUCUGGAACAACUAGAGGAAACUCUAGCUAAUGCCGGAUGAGACCACGAUCCCUUCGGGGGCUGCGGCCAAAGAUGGCCUCUACUUGUAAGCUAUCGCUGAGGGAUGGGCCUGCGGGCCAUUAGCUUGUUGGUGAGGUAACGGCUCACCAAGGCUGUGAUGGCUAGCUGGUCUGAGAGGAUGACCAGCCACACUGGGACUGAGACACGGCCCAGACUCCUACGGGAGGCAGCAGUGGGAAUAUUGCGCAAUGGGCGAAAGCCUGACGCAGCGACGCCGCGUGGGUGAUGAAGGCCUCGGUCGUAAAGCCGUGUCGCGAGGGAAGGAAUAA
Molecule: ribosomal RNA, 438 nt
Filed under: uncultured bacterium
Lineage: Bacteria
Description: bacterial SSU rRNA
Rfam family: Bacterial small subunit ribosomal RNA
Source: RNAcentral